RNAcentral lists this ribosomal RNA (253 nucleotides) under uncultured bacterium. RNAcentral's name for it is "partial 16S ribosomal RNA". It matches the Rfam family "Bacterial small subunit ribosomal RNA", at positions 524 to 776 of the family's 1533-position model. The record is from RNAcentral.
UACAGAGGUGGCAAGCGUUGUUCGGAAUUACUGGGCGUAAAGGGCUCGUAGGCGGCCAACUAAGUCAGACGUGAAAUCCCUCAGCUUAACUGGGGAACUGCGUCUGAUACUGGAUGGCUUGGAUUCGGGAGAGGGAUGCGGAAUUCCAGGUGUAGCGGUGAAAUGCGUAGAUAUCUGGAGGAACACCGGUGGCGAAGGCGGCAUCCUGGACCGAUAUUGACGCUGAGGAGCGAAAGCCAGGGGAGCAAACGGG